AGCCUGAACGCUGGCGGCGUGGCUAAGACAUGCAAGUCGUACGGUGUAGCAAUACACAGUGGCGAACGGGUGAGUAAUGAAUCGCUAAUGUGCCCCGGACUCUGGGAUAGCCGGCCGAAAGGCCGGGUAAUACCAGAUGACAUAACCUUUCCGCAUGGUGAGGUUCUCAAAGGUCCGCCGGUCUGGGAGCAGGCGAUUUUGUAUCAGCUAGUGGUGAGGUACGCUCACCAAGGCGACGACGCAUAGCCGGACUGAGAGUUGGCCGGCCACAUUGGACUGAGACACUGCCCAGACUCCCUACGGGGGGGACUCGACGAGUAACGAAGUCCUUCCGCAAUGCAACGAAAGUGUGACGAGCGACGCCGCGUGUGGACGAAGUCCGUUCGGGAUUACGUAAACCAACCGUUGGUACGUAAGGGGUAAAGAAAAAGGUUUCC
This 437-nucleotide ribosomal RNA is filed under the name uncultured soil bacterium. RNAcentral describes it as "bacterial SSU rRNA". It matches the Rfam family "Bacterial small subunit ribosomal RNA", at positions 26 to 466 of the family's 1533-position model. The record is from RNAcentral.